Molecule: non-coding RNA, 28 nt
Filed under: Cricetulus griseus (Chinese hamster)
Lineage: Eukaryota; Metazoa; Chordata; Mammalia; Rodentia; Cricetidae
Source: RNAcentral
AAUGUUUAAAUGAAAUGAGGUUGUAAAG